UCGAGAAUCUUCCGCAAUGGACGCAAGUCUGACGGAGCGACGCCGCGUGCUGGAUGAAGGCCCUCGGGUUGUAAACAGCUGUCGUAGGGGAGGAAAUUUUGACCGAUCCUAGGAGGAAGCACAGGCUAAGUUCGUGCCAGCAGCCGCGGUAAUACGAACUGUGCAAACGUUAUUCGGAAUCACUGGGCUUAAAGGGUGCGUAGGCGGGUUAGUAGGUCAGAUGUGAAAGCCCACGGCUCAACCGUGGAAUUGCGUUUGAAACCACUAGUCUUGAGGGGAUCAGAGGAGAGCGGAACUGAUGGUGGAGCGGUGAAAUGCGUUGAUAUUAUCAGGAACACCGGUGGCGAAAGCGGCUCUCUGGGAUCCUUCUGACGCUGAGGCACGAAAGCUAGGGGAGCGAACGGG
RNAcentral lists this ribosomal RNA (405 nucleotides) under uncultured bacterium. Its description in RNAcentral is "bacterial SSU rRNA". It matches the Rfam family "Bacterial small subunit ribosomal RNA", at positions 355 to 776 of the family's 1533-position model. The record is from RNAcentral.